Molecule: long non-coding RNA, 1263 nt
Filed under: Pan troglodytes (chimpanzee)
Lineage: Eukaryota; Metazoa; Chordata; Mammalia; Primates; Hominidae
Description: lincRNA
Source: RNAcentral
CUGCAACCUCCACCUCCCAGGUUCAAGCUAUUCUCCUGCCUCAGCCUCCUGAGUAGCUGGGACUACAGGUGCACACCGCAUGCCUGGCUAAUUUUUGUAUUUUUAAUAGAGACUGGAUUUCGCGAUGUUGGCCCGGCUGGUCUCGAACUCCUGGCCUCAAGUGAUCCACCCGCUUUAGCCUCCCAAAGUGCUGGGAUUACAGGCGUGAGCCACUGCACCCGGCCUAUUUUACCACAAUUUAUAAAAAUUUUUGUUUAUUUUAAUUAAGCUAUUCUAUGUUAAAAUAAGUAGCCACCCUUGGCUGAUGCAUAAAGAAAACAUAAGAGGAAGGAAAGAAUGGAAGCAAGGAGGCAAAUCAUGAGACGAUUUCAGAAAUCAAGACGAAAUCAGGAAAGCUAACAUUAGCAAGAGUGAACCAAACUGAUAAUAUCUUUGAGUUUAAAACUGAAGAAUUUACCAAUGAAGUGCAUAGGAAAGUAAAGAAAAGAGAGUGGUCAAGAUAGGUCCUGGUUUUGGGGCCUGAACAUCUGAGUGGUUAGUAGAAUCAUUACCAGUCGAUAACCCAUGGAAGAGGGUGGGGGAUGGGUGGUGUCUUGUAGGUUGGUUGACAGGACUGACCCAUUGGGAAGAUAAUGAAGAAGCAAAGUAUAUGAAAAGAGGAGAAAGGGUAACCAGAGGAGGGAGGAUACAAAGGGAGUGAUUAGCCAUCAGAAAGAUGAGGGACAUGACAUUUGUUGAGGCAGAUGGCGGAAAAAAGAAAGUUAACAUAGAUGUGGUUAGUUUUGUGGCAUUGACCAAAGGAAGAUUAAGGUGAUACUAUCUGAUGGCUUGGAAUGAAAACCAAACUCCCUGCCACAACAUGAUGAUCUUUCUCUGCAAUUUCAUAUUUUGCCUCUUGUUCCUCAUUUGUUACCACUGAGUCACAAUGGUCUUUUUAGUUUCUCAAACACACCAAGAUCUUUCUUGCCUCAUGUGACCUAGAAUGUUUUCUCCCUUUCUUCGUAUCUCAGUUGAAAGGUCUCCUCUCCUCAUCAUCAUACUAUCUAAAGUAGAUUCCCUCCCUUGUUAACCUCUAGCGCAGCCGUUAGUUCCUUCAUAACACUUACCCUAACUUGCAAGUAUUUUGUUGGUUGAUAUAAUUUUUAUCUGACUUCCCCACUAGAAUGUAAGCUCCAUGAGGGCAAAAAUUGUGUGUUUUGUAUACUGAUGCAUCUCUAGCACUUGGUAUAGCAGGCAUUCAAUAAAUAUCAUUAAAUAAGUUUC